Molecule: ribosomal RNA, 518 nt
Filed under: uncultured bacterium
Lineage: Bacteria
Description: bacterial SSU rRNA
Rfam family: Bacterial small subunit ribosomal RNA
Source: RNAcentral
GUCCGAUUAGCUAGUUGGUGGGGUAACGGCCCACCAAGGCUCCGAUCGGUAGCUGUUCUGAGAGGAAGAUCAGCCACACUGGGACUGAGACACGGCCCAGACUCCUACGGGAGGCAGCAGUUGGGAAUCUUGGACAAUGGGGGAAACCCUGAUCCAGCCAUGCCGCGUGAGUGAUGAAGGCCUUCGGGUUGUAAAACUCUUUCGCGCACGACGAUAAUGACGGUAGUGCGAGAAGAAGCUCCGGCUAACUUCGUGCCAGCAGCCGCGGUAAUACGAAGGGGGCUAGCGUUGUUCGGAAUUACUGGGCGUAAAGCGCGCGCAGGCGGCUAUCCAAGUCAGUGGUGAAAGCCCGGAGCUCAACUCCGGAACUGCCAUUGAAACUGUUUAGCUUGAGUAUGAGAGAGGUGAGUGGAAUUCCCAGUGUAGAGGUGAAAUUCGUAGAUAUUGGGAAGAACACCGGUGGCGAAGGCGGCUCACUGGCUCAUUACUGACGCUCAGGCGCGACAGCGUGGGGAUCA